Molecule: ribosomal RNA, 269 nt
Filed under: uncultured bacterium
Lineage: Bacteria
Description: partial 16S ribosomal RNA
Rfam family: Bacterial small subunit ribosomal RNA
Source: RNAcentral
GUCCACGCCCUAAACGAUGGAUACUACGUAGGGAGCCCUCAAGUGGCCCCCUGCCGGAGCGAAAGCGUUAAGUAUCCCGCCUGGGGAGUAUGGUCGCAAGGCUGAAACUCAAAGGAAUUGACGGGGGCUCACACAAGCGGUGGAGCAUGUUGCUUAAUUCGAUGCAACGCGAAGAACCUUACCCAGGCUCGAAGCGCACGGAUUAGCUCCGUGAAAGCGGAGUGACACCCUCACGGGUGGAACGUGUGGAGGUGUUGCAUGGCUGUCGU